Long non-coding RNA from Nymphaea colorata (pocket water lily), 2661 nucleotides. RefSeq lists it as uncharacterized. Lineage: Eukaryota; Viridiplantae; Streptophyta; Magnoliopsida; Nymphaeales; Nymphaeaceae. The record is from RefSeq and is a predicted model, not a curated record. The transcript is spliced from 2 exons.
AAAGACAUUCCAAACUCAUAUGAGUUUCAGUUCAAGAGUGUUACAUUACACCUCAUAAACAUACAUUUAAAACUAGUUCACCUCAGCAAUGGAGUAAAUAAAGUCUUGUUCAAUAGCACUCUAAAAUUAUUUGAAUUUAUAUAUGCUAGCCAUCUUUGAUAAGGGCAAAUAAAAUUUCAUGUACUAGAACAAAUCUUCAAAUAAAAUAUUUCAUUAAUAAGACUUUCAUCAUGCUUUGAGAGUGUUACCUUCCACAGGGCAAACAUGAUGGUAUAUUGUAUUUAGUGUCUGUACAAGUAUUUGGAGCCAAUGAUCCAACCAACUUAAUCUGGAUCUAAAUUCAUCACCAACCCAACACAAUGCUAUAUGCAUAUCACCAUGUCUAAGAGUGUUCAGCAUUUAGUAAUAUAAUUAUUCCUUUUAACUAGGAUAAACACAGCGUAAUAUAAUCUUUAUCCUGAGAAUAUUCUUUCAUAAGGAGCUAAAUAAAUUCAUUUGAUAGCACUCUAGUGCUACUCACAUUGAAAAAAUGUCCAACUUGUAAAACCAUUAGAUCUAAAAAUCAACGUUCAUCAAAAUAUGUUUAGAUAUAAUAUAAACAAGAUAUAAAUCUUGAACAAGCCAAAUCAGAUCAUGCUCCAAAAGAGUGCAACAUUUAGUGUGAGAUCCAAAUCGAACAACUAAAAUGAUUAUAUAAAACCAAAGUUUUGGUCAUAUCUGGUAUCAGCAUGAACCCAAAAUGACGAUGAAUUUCGUAAAGCAAGUAUAAUAACAUGUAUUUGAACUAACAUAAAUAGGAUAUGGAUUUUUAACCAAUAUCCAAACAAAUUCAAAUCUGAAUAUAUCAUGAUUCAAAUUGAAUACAAAUAUGGAUCUUAAGCAAUAAGAAGAUCCAAAGCAAAAAUCCAAAUGAUUAUUUAGAUUCAGAUCAUACCAAUGUGGGUCCACACACAAUAAUAUCAACACUAUACUUGAUAUGCAUUUAAACAAGUAAAGAUGAUCCAAAUUCAAAUCCAAUAUGAACGUGUUUCAACAUAAUAUCUAUAUUCAAAUACGACACAAGAUUUAUACCGCCAUUAGGUCUUGCACACAAAAAAUAACAAAAUUGCAUAAGUAAACAUAUAUGCUGCCAAUCAUUUUUCAGUUUUCGUGUCUCAAGCUCCCACUCUUGAAGUCAUUUCUAAAUUAAUUCUAUAACAAGUAUAGAACUAUAAUACAAAUAAUAUUCGAAUGUAUCACUUAAAGCAAGCAAAACUCACAUUAAAUUUUAGACCACGAGUUUUCCUUCUCAUUUUCAAAGUUAAUUUCAGAACCAUUUUUCUAAAAUUUUAAUAAGUUUGAGUGGUGCCUGUAUGCAAUUCUACAUAAAAUCUCCUUUCUCCGCCGAAAUUGCAAAACAAUUUUCUGAAACCCUCUUCCAGAAAUUUAUAAUAGCUCAGAGGGUACCAUUUCGCAAUUUCAUAUAAAAUUCUAGGUUUACACCGAAAUUAACUUUCGCAAGCCUCUUUCUGAAAACUUUUAAGCAAACAUGUUUCCGCAUUAAUUUGUUAAAAAAGUAACAGCGUUUUUGAAAAUACGGCCGAAAUGGUGGACUGAUUUUGCAAUCUUCAAACUUCAGGUAUAAAAACCCCUUGCGCUUGAUUUUCCUUCAUUUCACCGGUUUCCUUCUCUCUCCUCUCGAGAGCUUCUCUUGCCUCUCAUUGAAAACCCUUUGCUAGGGUUUCGCCCGCCGUCGGCUUCGCCAACAUCACCGGCUUCUUCAUCAUCUCCGGCCUGGCAAUGGGGAUGGAGCCCAUCUACGGCCAGGUGUUCGGAGCCAAGAAGCAUUCACUCCCGGUUUUCCUUCACCGCCACGGUGAGGUCGUCGUUCUAUUCUAGUUCUACCGCACAGAGGGUGGCAAAGGUAGAGUUCGACUAGCAGAGAGCAACUUUGAGCCAUCCUUUUCAGAUUAGGGUUCAUCCGGCGCUUUAGGCCGCCGCUACCUCCUCCUCAGUUCUCGACAUUUCUGUGCUGCCAUCCUGAGGAGGACAACCUCUCAAUCUCUGCUCUCGUUGAAACAGAGAUGCACCGGUAGACCCAGAGGAACAACAGAGGAGGUUUGCAGUGCUUCAAAAGCAGUUUUCGUCCUUUACUUAAGUUUACUCUCUGCUACCAGCAUGAGAAAAUCUCAGCUUUUGUCAGACGAAAGAAUCCCGUCCUUUACCAUGAGGCUGUUGAGUCGGACUCUCAAUCGGCAUACGGUGAGCCAAGGCUUCACUAUGAUCAAGAUCGAAUUUCACUUACUGGAAUUCGAUACGUAUGGCUCUGAUACCACUGUUGAGGAAACUUACGAUGCAGCGGAAGUUGCAAGUCGUCGCCUGUAAGAUCACCAACAGCUUUAGUUCCAUGUAGAACUCGUCCCUGUAGAAAACAGCACAAGAGGAAGAAGAGGAAGUUGAAGAGUAUGUCAGUUUUGGGGUUUCCUUCUAAGGGGCUCCUCAUAUAUAAUCAACAUUAUAUUACUUAGUCUCGCUGGAUAUAAAUAGCCAGCCCCUUAUGUUUUUCCCAAAUCCAAUCCAGCAGCGGUUACAGUGAGUGAGAGAUUUUAGGUGAACAUUAAAGCUCAUAACUACAAGUGGGCCCCCUUGCAUUUACUGAAUGAGUAGUGCUCUUGGCCACUA